AAGUCGUAACAAGGUUUCCGUAGGUGAACCUGCGGAAGGAUCAUUAGUGAAUAUAGGACGUCCAACUUAACUUGGAGUCCGAACUCUCACUUUCUAACCCUGUGCACUUGUUUGGGAUAGUAACUCUCGCAAGAGAGCGAACUCCUAUUCACUUAUAAACACAAAGUCUAUGAAUGUAUUAAAUUUUAUAACAAAAUAAAACUUUCAACAACGGAUCUCUUGGCUCUCGCAUCGAUGAAGAACGCAGCGAAAUGCGAUAAGUAAUGUGAAUUGCAGAAUUCAGUGAAUCAUCGAAUCUUUGAACGCACCUUGCGCUCCAUGGUAUUCCGUGGAGCAUGCCUGUUUGAGUGUCAUGAAUACUUCAACCCUCCUCUUUCUUAAUGAUUGAAGAGGUGUUUGGUUUCUGAGCGCUGCUGGCCUUUACGGUCUAGCUCGUUCGUAAUGCAUUAGCAUCCGCAAUCGAACUUCGGAUUGACUUGGCGUAAUAGACUAUUCGCUGAGGAAUUCUAGUCUUCGGAUUAGAGCCGAGUUGGGUUAAAGGAAGCUUCUAAUCAGAAUGUCUACAUUUUAAGAUUAGAUCUCAAAUCAGGUAGGACUACCCGCUGAACUUAAGCAUAUCAAUA
This 623-nucleotide ribosomal RNA is filed under the name uncultured eukaryote. Its description in RNAcentral is "eukaryotic LSU rRNA". The stretch from base 200 to 353 matches the Rfam family "5.8S ribosomal RNA". The record is from RNAcentral.